GAAAUGCGAUAAGUACUGUGAAUUGCAGAAUUCAGUGAAUCAUCGAAUCUUUGAACGCACAUUUCGCCCGCCAGCCAUCUGGCGGGCAUGCCUGUUCGAGCGUCAUUUCAACCAUCAAGCCCCGGGCUUGUGUUGGGGACCGGCGGCUGCCCGAAGGCCCUGAAAGACAGUGGCGGGCUCGCUGUCACCCCGAGCGUAGUAGUAUUAUCUCGCGUAGGGCGUGCUGCGUGUUCCGGCCGUGAAACCCCCCCAUACCCCAAGGUUGACCUCGGAUCAGGUAGGAAUACCCGCUGAACUUAA
RNAcentral lists this unclassified non-coding RNA (300 nucleotides) under uncultured Sordariales. RNAcentral's name for it is "sequence contains ITS1". The stretch from base 1 to 105 matches the Rfam family "5.8S ribosomal RNA", at positions 50 to 154 of the family's 154-position model. Lineage: Eukaryota; Fungi; Ascomycota; Sordariomycetes; Sordariales. The record is from RNAcentral.